RNAcentral lists this ribosomal RNA (829 nucleotides) under uncultured bacterium. RNAcentral describes it as "bacterial SSU rRNA". It matches the Rfam family "Bacterial small subunit ribosomal RNA", at positions 59 to 898 of the family's 1533-position model. The record is from RNAcentral.
CAGUCGAACGGACUCAUAUUGAAACCUAGUGAUUUAUGAGUUAGUGGCGGACGGGUGAGUAACGCGUGGAUAACCUGCCGUAUACCGGGGGAUAACACUUAGAAAUAGGUGCUAAUACCGCAUAAGCGCACGGCUCCGCAUGGGGCAGUGUGAAAAACUCCGGUGGUAUACGAUGGAUCCGCGUCUGAUUAGCUAGUUGGCGGGGUAACGGCCCACCAAGGCAGCGAUCAGUAGCCGGCCUGAGAGGGUGGACGGCCACAUUGGGACUGAGACACGGCCCAAACUCCUACGGGAGGCAGCAGUGGGGAAUAUUGCACAAUGGGGGAAACCCUGAUGCAGCGACGCCGCGUGAGUGAAGAAGUAUCUCGGUACGUAAAGCUCUAUCAGCAGGGAAGAAAAUGACGGUACCUGACUAAGAAGCCCCGGCUAACUACGUGCCAGCAGCCGCGGUAAUACGUAGGGGGCAAGCGUUAUCCGGAUUUACUGGGUGUAAAGGGAGCGUAGACGGCAGCACAAGUCUGGAGUGAAAUCCCGGGGCUUAACCCCGGAACUGCUUUGGAAACUGUGCGGCUGGAGUGCAGGAGGGGUAAGCGGAAUUCCUAGUGUAGCGGUGAAAUGCGUAGAUAUUAGGAGGAACACCGGUGGCGAAGGCGGCUUACUGGACUGUAACUGACGUUGAGGCUCGAAAGCGUGGGGAGCAAACAGGAUUAGAUACCCUGGUAGUCCACGCCGUAAGCGAUGAUUACUAGGUGUCGGGGGAUCAAGGUCCUCCGGUGCCGGCGCAAACGCAUUAAGUAAUCCACCUGGGGAGUACGUUCGCAAGAAUGAA